ACGGAGGAUCCAAGCGUUAUCCGGAUUUAUUGGGUUUAAAGGGAGCGUAGAUGGAUGUUUAAGUCAGUUGUGAAAGUUUGCGGCUCAACCGUAAAAUUGCAGUUGAUACUGGAUAUCUUGAGUGCAGUUGAGGCAGGCGGAAUUCGUGGUGUAGCGGUGAAAUGCUUAGAUAUCACGAAGAACUCCGAUUGCGAAGGCAGCCUGCUAAGCUGCAACUGACAUUGAGGCUCGAAAGUGUGGGUAUCAAACAG
RNAcentral lists this ribosomal RNA (251 nucleotides) under uncultured bacterium. Its description in RNAcentral is "partial 16S ribosomal RNA". It matches the Rfam family "Bacterial small subunit ribosomal RNA", at positions 525 to 775 of the family's 1533-position model. The record is from RNAcentral.